Non-coding RNA from Salmo salar (Atlantic salmon), 54 nucleotides. NCBI's taxonomy places the organism in Eukaryota, Metazoa, Chordata, Actinopteri, Salmoniformes, Salmonidae. The record is from Rfam.
UGAGUUCCAAUUUGUAAGUCGCUCUGGAUAAGAGCGUCUGCUAAAUGACGUAAA